RNAcentral lists this ribosomal RNA (847 nucleotides) under uncultured marine archaeon. RNAcentral's name for it is "bacterial SSU rRNA". It matches the Rfam family "Archaeal small subunit ribosomal RNA", at positions 28 to 881 of the family's 1478-position model. The record is from RNAcentral.
UGCUAUCGGAUUGAUACUAAGCCAUGCGAGUCAUUGUAGUAAUACAAGGCAGACGGCUCAGUAACGCGUAGUCAACCUAACCUAUGGACGGGGAUAAUCUCGGGAAACUGAGCAUAAUACCCGAUAGAACAUUAUGCCUGGAAUGGUUUAUGUUCCAAAUGAUUUAUCGCCGUAGGAUGGGACUGCGGCCUAUCAGUUUGUUGGUGAGGUAAUGGCCCACCAAGACUAUUACAGGUACGGGCUCUGAGAGGAGUAGCCCGGAGAUGGGUACUGAGACACGGACCCAGGCCCUAUGGGGCGCAGCAGGCGAGAAAACUUUGCAAUGUGCGAAAGCACGACAAGGUUAAUCCGAGUGGUUUCUGCUAAAGGAACCUUUUGACAGUCCUAGAAACACUGUUGAAUAAGGGGUGGGCAAGUUCUGGUGUCAGCCGCCGCGGUAAAACCAGCACCUCAAGUGGUCAGGAUGAUUAUUGGGCCUAAAGCAUCCGUAGCCGGCUCUGUAAGUUUUCGGUUAAAUCUGUACGCUCAACGUACAGGCUGCCGGGAAUACUGCAGAGCUAGGGAGUGGGAGAGGUAGACGGUACUCGGUAGGAAGGGGUAAAAUCCUUUGAUCUAUUGAUGACCACCUGUGGCGAAGGCGGUCUACCAGAACACGUCCGACGGUGAGGGAUGAAAGCUGGGGGAGCAAACCGGAUUAGAUACCCGGGUAGUCCCAGCUGUAAACCAUGCAAACUCAGUGAUGCAUUGGCUUGUGGCCAAUGCAGUGCUGCAGGGAAGCCGUUAAGUUUGCCGCCUGGGAAGUACGUACGCNAGUAUGAAACUUAAAGGAAUUGGCGGGGGAGCACAA